CGGAACUAACAGAUUUACUUCGGUAAUGACGUUAGGAAAGCGAGCGGCGGAUGGGUGAGUAACACGUGGGGAACCUGCCCCAUAGUCUGGGAUACCACUUGGAAACAGGUGCUAAUACCGGAUAAGAAAGCAGAUCGCAUGAUCAGCCUUUAAAAGGCGGCGUAAGCUGUCGCUAUGGGAUGGCCCCGCGGUGCAUUAGCUAGUUGGUAAGGUAAAGGCUUACCAAGGCGGUGAUGCAUAGCCGAGUUGAGAGACUGAUCGGCCACAUUGGGACUGAGACACGGCCCAAACUCCUACGGGAGGCAGCAGUAGGGAAUCUUCCACAAUGGACGCAAGUCUGAUGGAGCAACGCCGCGUGAGUGAAGAAGGUUUUCGGAUCGUAAAGCUCUGUUGUUGGUGAAGAAGGAU
RNAcentral lists this ribosomal RNA (408 nucleotides) under uncultured Lactobacillus sp. RNAcentral describes it as "bacterial SSU rRNA". It matches the Rfam family "Bacterial small subunit ribosomal RNA", at positions 67 to 453 of the family's 1533-position model. The record is from RNAcentral. Lineage: Bacteria; Bacillati; Bacillota; Bacilli; Lactobacillales; Lactobacillaceae.